RNAcentral lists this ribosomal RNA (322 nucleotides) under uncultured eukaryote. RNAcentral's name for it is "partial 18S ribosomal RNA". It matches the Rfam family "Eukaryotic small subunit ribosomal RNA", at positions 1470 to 1796 of the family's 1831-position model. The record is from RNAcentral.
CCCUUAGAUGUUCUUGGCCGCACGCGUGCUACACUGAGUAAAUCAAUGGGUAAGGGAACACGAAAGUGCAACCUAAUCUUGAAAUUUGCUCGUGAUGGGGAUCGACGGUUGCAAUUUUCCGUCGUGAACGAGGAAUACCUUGUAGGCGCGUGUCAUCAUCACGCGCCGAAUACGUCCCUGCCCUUUGUACACACCGCCCGUCGCUCCUACCGAUUGAGUGAUCCGGUGAGGCUCUGGGACCUGGACGGAAAGAGCGUUUCGCUUGUUCUGUUUGGGAAACUUGGUCGAACCUUAUCAUUUAGAGGAAGGAGAAGUCGUAACA